AACCNUUCAGGGGUAAACCUAAGAAACCCAAAAGAUCGAACGGGGAGAUUCAUCGUCAGCGGCNUUGGCUUCGCGUCGGUNGGCGAUGUCCCGCGAGCUCGCUCGCGGNCACGCUACCGUGCGCGNACGUCCGACGUCGUCGUNGUGCACUUCUCCCUUAGUAGGACGUCNCGACUCGCUGGGUGUCGGUCUACGGCCCGAGNGCGGUGUCUGUCGCGUCGCCGGUAAAACGGCACGCGGNAAACNNUCGGUCGCCNGGCCGGCUGCCCGGCGGUAUUCGCAAGGUAUCAGGCCNNNAAGUUUAGUCUUCGCGUCAAGCCCGUCGCAAGCGCNCGCCACGGCACCCGGAGGUACGGACCNNGCGCCNUCCCCGGUCCUNGUCCGCUAUUGGCAGAACNGUGANUCUUUGACAGGCCUUAACCGGGGGCGGGCGGUGCCUCGCGCGCCGCUCCCCUCGAUACCNUCGGCGAC
This 471-nucleotide ribosomal RNA is filed under the name Mystrium sp. MG04. Its description in RNAcentral is "partial 28S ribosomal RNA". Lineage: Eukaryota; Metazoa; Arthropoda; Insecta; Hymenoptera; Formicidae. The record is from RNAcentral.